Molecule: unclassified non-coding RNA, 403 nt
Filed under: fungal sp.
Lineage: Eukaryota; Fungi
Description: partial internal transcribed spacer region
Rfam family: Eukaryotic small subunit ribosomal RNA (bases 1-46)
Source: RNAcentral
AAGUCGUAACAAGGUUUCCGUAGGUGAACCUGCGGAAGGAUCAUUACAAUACGUUCCACACGUAUCAACCAAAACGUUGAACUGAAAUGCGUCCGAUAGGAAAUAGGGUUCAUGGGCCGGCGGCUUUGAGGUGGAUACACCAACAAAUCAAAACUUCGGUUUUGAGGUGAUCAAAAGUACCUCGGUCGGUUCUUUUCCUUGUCGAGUCUUGGUGCUCGCAACGGAAAGCCCUUUUCCUAGUUCGCGUAUUUAUCCUUUAAAACUACUUUUGAUUGCCUUUUCUUUUUUAACCCCAUUCACCUUUUCAAUUUUAAAACUGUGAACUGAUCUCGAGCUUUUAAUCGGGCUCGAUCAUUUUUACGAAACGUAAGAACAACUCUUAACAACGGAUAUCUUGGCUCUC